UCAAGAGGAUAUAUGAAACGUUCAGUUCGCAGUAAGAAAAGAAGCCAAUGCUUCGUUACAGAAGAGUCAGUUGCUCAGCUUGAAGGUAUUCUAGAAUUUGGGGAGACAACCGUGAUUCUAUCAUGGUACUGAACAUCACCAACAUAGACCCUUUAAAUUGCAAACGUUGUAAUUUCUUCUUUGAUUCCUCAUUGACUACAGGAAGUUUAGAUAUUGUUCUGUACAAAGCUUUAAUGGAAGACAUGGAAAUGUACAUUAAGGAUGGAAUAACGCUCAAGACCUCAUCCUGGAAUGUGGAAAACUCAAAAGCGCGACGCCGUAAACGUGCAGAAAUUGGUGGAAUUUGUUCAUUGGGUUCGAAUUCAGCUUGCACUUCAUUGAUUGGCAAAAGAUCCAAAUGUUCAAUUAGCUGAAGAACUUCGUCCCAUUUUUCUUGACCAUACAGUUUUUGUACUUUGACAACUUUAAGCAGAACUUUUAAUGCCUUUUUGUUGGUUGCUGAAACUUUUGCACUUUUCUUUGGAUUGGAUUCGUACAUUGCUAACAGAUUUGCAGCCAAGGCAUCUGGAGCUUCACUAGCUACAACAUUAGAAGAAAUAUGCAUAUUUUUACUUUCUUUGGAAUCGAUAGACCAUAAACCUCGAGAAACAAUACUUUGACUAAGGUUUUUGAUAGCAACACCAAUCACUGUAUCGUAAUCCCCGAGCAAAUGGUAUAGUAUGAUUGAGUCCCCAAACCGUCCAUCAUCGUCUGCCUCUCUAGCGCCUUCCAAAUACAACUUUUGUAAUGAGUCAU
Schizosaccharomyces pombe (fission yeast) is the source of this 795-nucleotide non-coding RNA. The record is from the annotation of a GenBank genome assembly. NCBI's taxonomy places the organism in Eukaryota, Fungi, Ascomycota, Schizosaccharomycetes, Schizosaccharomycetales, Schizosaccharomycetaceae.